Molecule: long non-coding RNA, 21338 nt
Filed under: Vitis vinifera (wine grape)
Lineage: Eukaryota; Viridiplantae; Streptophyta; Magnoliopsida; Vitales; Vitaceae
Description: long non-coding RNA (VVIN_LNC004461)
Source: RNAcentral
UAAAAUGCUUUUUCCUCGUAUGCAUUUCAGGGUGUAGGGAUUCUCAUGGAAAAUACUUCCCAUGGCUGGCAUGGGAGUUGAAGAAUUGUUGCAUGUGCAGCCAAAGGUAAAAGAGGGAUUCAUGUGUUACCUGAAUUGCAUUUUAUCUGAUUUACAAUUUGAUUAUAUGUAUGUUUGUGCAGUCUGGUGCUUGUGUUGCUCAUUUCUAUAUGUGCUAAAUGGAGGAUUUCUUUUUCAUCCAAAACCCUAGUAUUGCAGGAGAUAGUUGCUUUAUGGGUCAGUCUUCUUACCAAAUCUUAACUCUAUGCUGACUUCUUUUUCUUUGAUUUCCUACUCUUUGUUCUGCAUAUGUGUUUUCAACCUAACUAUUUUCAUAGGGAUCAAUGGAAAUUAUGAUUUUUCAAAGAAUAUUGAAAGUAGAAGAAAAUUAAGCAUUUGUGAAAUAUGGAGGAGCAAAAUGAUUUCUUAGUUUUAGCACAUCAGUUUACAGAAGAUAUUGUAAUUUCACAUGAUGAAAAUGAAGAGGGGAACCCAGAUUUCCAAUGGAGGGACUUUUUGGGCUUGGGGGACUAGAAAUGCAAGAUAUAAGUGCAAAUAUUGGAGUUACCCAACCAUAAAUCUGUCCGAAAAACUCGCUUUAAGGGGAGGAUGUUCCUCAUACACAAGAUGGAUUUAGCAUGGGGAUAAUUAGAUCCUAGAUGUUUGUAAGACUCAAUUCUAUCCAGUUUGCGUCCUUUUGGGGCUCCAUCAUGUGGGUUCUUUCCCCUUUUCGGUCAUCUUAAACUGGCUCUGAUGGUUGUUCGAUUGGUAACUCCGAAAGAUCAGAAUAGCUGUAUCUGCUAAGAUAAUGGAUGAAAUGAUAUGCUAACUUGGCAACUCGAAAAUAAUGGCCCGUGUCUUCCUCCUAUUAGGGUAUAUUGAAUUCUAAUUCAAGAAAAUUUUGCAGUAUUCAGGGUGGAAGCAGAUCACUUAAUCUUUUGUAGUAGGGAUUUAAGAGGUUUAGGCAGAUGCUUGAAGGUUUAUUCAUACUUAUUGUGAAGCAGAUCAUCUGGAAAACUGGGGAGUUAUCAUGCUGAAGACAUUUUUCUCCUUAUUGAAGUUUUCCAAACAAACCCUUCCAUCUAGGGUGAAUUAUUGGUUUCAUUUGGCUGAGUAGGAGAUUUCAGAUAGAAGCCAUCAAUCCUGGUCCUCAAGGGUGGAGUGGUAUGAUUACCAUCUAUGUAAAGACUUUGAAAUUUUUUUGUCAUUAACAAGCAUUUGUUGAUAAAUUUGCUUACCAUCUUCCACAAAUGAAAUUAUGGUUUUGAGUGUAUAAUUAUAACUGCUUAUGAUGAAAGGGAAAAACACCGACAAAGGACUCACUGGUUUUUUCUGCACAAAUGGGAGCAAUCUGUUAUUCUGGUUUCUUAUUACACACAAGCAAAACGAUCAUUUAUAGUUGUAAAUAGAGAGCUCUUCUUCUUACCUAGACUGAAAGUGACGGAGGUUUACUAUUUUAAGUUCAGUGACAUGUCCACAUUUUCUUCCUUUGCCUUACGAAGUGUUUCAAAUCCCAUUUCUUUCCAGACAUUCUUUAGCCUUUGAGCAACCGAAGAGAUAAGGGGACGCUUUUGGGGGUUCUCUUCUGUGCACAUCAUCCCUGCAUCGAGCAUGUGGAUACAGCAUUGCUCAAGCUUAUGUAAAGCACCACUCCCCUCUUCCAAAUAUGCUUCGUGCUUCAGUGAGAUGUCUACAAUAUCCAAAACUUGAUUUGGAAAAGCAGAACACACCCAUUUCCUUAGAUCAAGUCCAUCUGAAAACAUUUCAUUCGUUGGUCUCUUCCGUGUUAUCAUCUCUAACAUCAUCACUCCAAAACUGUAUACAUCUCCUCUUGUUGAGACAUCGAUCCCCUGCCCAUAUUCUGUGUACAAGCAAUAGGAACUAUUAGCUGAAUCACUGUACUUUUAUUUAUAUCCCUUCAAAUUAGGAUAGUCUGUUUAAAGAAAGAGACAUGGAUAGAUGCAGUUGGUUCAUAUUAACUAUCUGAAUAUCACAAGAAUGCAAGCAUCCUUCUUUUUCAUUUAGAUGUAAAUGCUUCUCAUUGGAAAAGCGAUUAGGAAACUAUCUGAAUAUCACUGUACUUAAAGAAAAGCGGGAGAAUAACCAACAAGACAUACCAUGUUGUUAAACAAAUUUAUCAUAAUGGUAUAUGAGGAAACACACAAAACCCUAUUUUUUCUUCUCGACUUCUAUCCUAUUAUUAACAGUUAGUUCUCUAGAAUAUAUGACCAUUGGGUAGGCAGUCAAAUGAAUGAAAACUAGACUAGUUUGAAGUUCAUGUGAGAUGAAAGAUUGGCAUUCAUGAUUAAAAGUAAUUAUCUAGUCUGAUAACUUAUCAUUUACUUCUCAGAUUUGAAGGUAGGUCGCUAACUUUUCCAAGAAGAUUCAAAGGGAUUAUGAAGCAUAGGAUUGAAGAUUUAUAUAAGGUAAUCAAAUGCAUACCUGGGGGGAUAUACCCGACAGAUCCUCGUAGAAAAGCAGUUGUGGUAGUAACAUGUCCUCUUGGUUUGUCACCUGAAAUGAGCUUUCCAAUACCAGAAUCUCCUACAUGAGCCACCAUAUCAUUGUCCAAAAGAACAUUUUGUGGUUUCAGGUCACAGUGUACAACUUGAACAGGACAACCCUCAUGAAGAUACUCCAAGCCAUUUGCAACAUCUAUUGCUAUUCCCAUUCUUUCCCUCAAUUUUAAUUCACUACCUCCUUCAUCUGACCCACCAGGGUAAAGAUGCUGUUCCAAGUUCCCAUUGCCUAUAUACUCGAGAACAAUAGCCUUGAAUCCUGAAUUCCAGGUCGAUCCUAUCAUUCUAACCAGAUUCCUAUGUCUAAUUUCAGACAGUAUUUGACACUCCCUUUUAAAACUUCUGUAACCCUGAACACGCUCUUCUUGCAGAACCUUAACUGCCACAACAGUUUUUCCAUCAUUGAUGAUAGCUUUAUACACCCUACCAAAACUUCCUUCCCCUAAUAGAUUAGCCUCAUCAAAACCGCCAGUAGCAAUUUCGAUUUCCCUUUCAGUUAAAGUUUGGGUUCCAUGAUGGGUUGGGGAAUACAUUAGAAUUGCAGUCUCCGCACCUGCACUCCUAUUUUUGAAGAAGAAACGACGAACAGUGAGGGCGAUCAGCACAAAGAGAAGCAGAGAACAAGUUAAUAUUGCAAACAGGUAAUAAAUCCAUUUCCUUUUCUUGUGCUUUUGUUUCAGAAUUUCACAUGGAUGGAGACCCAUAAGUUUGGUGCCACCACAGAGCCCCAUAUUCCCCAUGAAUGAGCUGCUUCCUAGAUUUUUAUACCUCCCACUAUUUGGAACCUCUCCUGUUAAUCUGUUAUACGAUAAAUUGAGAUUCUUGAUCUUCUGGCUGUCACCAAUCCAGAUUGGAACAUUUCCUGUUAAAUUAUUGAAAGCCAAGUCCAGAUAUCCUAGAUCAAUGAUUUGCUUCAGGGACUCUGGGAUUGUACCUUCAAGCAUGUUGUGAGAGAGGUUCAGAUACUCCAUUGAAAUGCAUCUUCCAAUCGAACUUGGUAUCACUCCGAAGAAUUUAUUCGCUGACAAGUCAAUUGCCAGCACAGAUGCCAGAUUUCCAAUACUAGCAGGUAGUUCUCCUUCAAGAUUGUUGUUCGAAAGGUUGAGUGAAAGAGCCAGGUUUGAGAAAUGACCAAUUUCUGUGGGAAGAGACCCUUGUAAGUUGUUAAAAGACAAAUCAAGAAGCAUUAGAAGAGAACAUUGGGUGAGUUCGAUGGGAAUUUUCCCUGUGAGGUGGUUGUGAGACAAGUAAAGAUAUCUCAACUGUGACAGAUUACCAAGAGAAGAUGGGAUUGUCCCACUAAUCAAAUUAUCACUAAGUUCCAGUAAACCAAGGUUAGCCAUCUGCCCAAGUUCAUCUGGAAUUGGCCCAAGAAGUUUGUUUCUUCCCAAGUGUAAUCUCUGCAACUGCCUAAGCUUCCCAAUUGUUGCAGGAACUCCAUUCAAAAAAUUAUACCACAGGUCUAGAGUCACAAGGCCGCUUAGAUUUCCAAUUUCAGCUGGUAGGUCUCCUGUUAAUUUGUUGUUUCGAAGAUUCAAGUAGUAGAGAUCUUUGGAAAGACUGCCAAUUGAAGCCGGUAAACUUCCUGCAAACAGACAUGCCCCUAAGUGCAGUUUCUGUAGACGUGAACAAUUAGUGAGAGGAGUUAGAAAACUGAGGGAAGAGUUGUUGGAACCGCUCACCAGGUUAUUGCUAUGAAGGUAAAGUCUCUCAAGUUUCUUCAACUUCCCCAACUCAGGAGGGACUUCCCCCUCUAACUGGUUGAGGCUAAGAUCAAGCAGUGUCAGCUGAGAAAGAUUGGACAGGGUCACUGGAAUUUUCCCAGAAAGUUGGUUUUCUUGGAAGUACAAUCUCUGCAAGUUAUGGAGCUUUGACCCCAAUUCGAAAGGGAUUGUUCCCGUUAACCGAUUCUCAAUCAGUGUAAUGUGACGCAGGGCAGUGCAAUUACUGAUGGAUGCAGGUAUGCUUCCUUCCAAAAAGUUGAUGUGGAGGUACAAUAUCUCCAGCUUUGUUAAUGCUCCUAGCUCCUCUGGAAUCCUUCCUGUGAAGUAAUUAACUUGCAAUUCUAAAUCUGUCAGCUUUGUCAGAUUCGAAAGAAACGAUGGUAUAGCUCCAGUGAGGCUGUUCUCAGAGAGACAAAGGUAUGUCAAGUUUGUCAUUUGGCCUAGUACAGCAGGAAUGCUUCCAGUCAGAUUGUUAUAGUCCAAGUCUAUUGUCUCCAGGCUCCAGCAGCCUUGUAUUGAGGCUGGAAUAUUGCCCCCAAGCUUAUUACCACUCAUGUUUAUGAAUGUUAACUCAGAAAGCUCUCCAAUGGUAGCUGGGAUCUCUCCAUACAAGCUGUUGGCUUGCAAAGAGAGGGUGGUGAGAUGGGAUAGAUUGGAUAUGUAUGGUGAGAUAACUCCCUGUAAGCGCAUGUUUAUGAGCUCAAUGGCUAUGACCCGGUUCUUAAGUUGCUGGUGGCAUGUAAUCCCUGUCCAGUUGCAGAAGAACCUGGUUUCAUUCCAAUCUUGGAGAUGACCAUCUGGAUCACCUGUUAUGCCUUGUUUGAAUUUGAGCAGAGAUUGACAAUCAGUGGAGUUUUUGCAGAGGAAUGUGGAAGUUGAUAGUAGAGCAAGACAACUAAGAGAGAAAAACACUGCCACAGCAACGGGAUUGUUCUGAUUGUAUGCCAUUCUCUCUCUCUCUCUCUCUCAGUGUGUGUGUACAGCUUUUGGAAUUCGAUGUUAGAUUUCAGGCCAAAAGUUUUUUUUCUCACUUGUUAGGUAAGAUGGGAUGAACAAUCAAUUUUCUUAAAAGUUUAAACUUAACGUGUAUCAUACUUUUCAACACUCGACGGGAUCAAUGGUAGAAGUUUAAAUAGAUGGGCUCAGUUGCUCAAAUGGUUCAGACAACUUGGCCUAGUGAGGGGCAGGUGGUGAGCCCUCAUUUAUCACUGGGACCAUAGAGCAAGACUUUUUGGUAUUGCCAUCACCUGUCUUAACUUCAUUCAACCUCUUCAAUGCUGUUUGACAUUUUCUUCCGUGACAGAAUUAAUAGCUAUGCAGUUUCCCAAAAUUUGCUCCGAACCCAUUGUCAUUUUUUUUUCUUCAUAUUUUAUAUUUUGUAUUUAUUUAUUUUUAUAUUAUUAUCAUUUAUUAUUUAUUUUAUUUUUCUUUCUUUUUCUUUUAUUUAUUUUAUUUUCUUCUUCCUUUCUUCCUCCAUGCAUGCACUACCAUUGUCACUUUUUUCUCUUUCUAAGGAUUUGCAAUUGACUCUAUUGAUAUUUUGUUGGUUGAGCAUGGAUUUAUGACUUAUAACACACACAUGGAAGGUUGAAUUUCAUGAAAGAAAAUGAGGGUUAGAAAAAUAAUAAAUGGGAAACAUUGAGCUUAUUGUGGGUUUGAUUUGGUACAAAUUCUUUUGUAUAUAUCUACUUGGGUAUACAAUUGAAUAUUUAAUUUAGGAAAAUUCAAAAAAUUGUUUUCAAUGAAAUUAAAAAAAAAAAUUAAUAACAAUUGCCUGGAAAUUUAUUUAUUUAAUAAACAUUGUUUUGUCAAUAAAAUUGUCAUCAAAGUUAAUUUUUAAUAAAAUUAUCUAAAAAAGUGAAUUUAUAAAUGAAAUUCUAUUUCCUUAAUUUAAAUGGGAUAAAAAGUAAUUUUUGUAAAUUAAAGUCUUAAAUAAUUUUUUCAUAAUAAUAGAACGAGAAUCUUUUUAGCAAAUUGAACUUAUACAAAUUAUUUUCUUUUCGUAAAUAAAGUUUGUAAAGAAAUUAUUUUCUUUAUAAAUAAAAUCAAAAUGAAAUAUUUUUACAACUAAAAGAAUAUUUAAUUGAGCAAGUGAUGAACUAUUUGCUUGUUUAAGUAACCUUUUGAAAUGUUCCCUCAGCAUAAUGGUAGUACAAUAAGAGGGUUUAUUAUGUACUUCUUUCUAUAUGGACUUUGGGUAUAAUAAAAACAAUGCUUUCUCUCUCUCUCUCUCUCUCUCUCUCUCUCUCUCUCUCUCUCCCCCUAGUCCACAGGUUUACACCCUCAGCUUUACCCUGGACUAAGUCCUGAAACCCAAAGAUUAUGCAGAAUCAAACUCUUAAAGUCUACAGCAUGAGUUGAAGAAAAAAGGAUGAGUAUUUAAUGUAGUAGUUGAGGAAUGAUUCAAUGUUUGAAAUAUAAAAAAUGCAAUCCAUUGAACACUUAGCUGGACUAUCUGCUUAUUGUAUACAUAAAACAUAGACUAAUCCGAAGACUUCUAUGUUAUAACUUUAGAAUUUUCAUAUCCAAGGUUUUCACUUCUUUCUCAUCAGAAGACAAAGAUUGUAACUGUUGCAGAAAACCUAACAACCUAGUUUAUUUGUUAAGGUCCCUUUCUCUCAUAAGACAUAAAUAUAUUCACUAUCAAACACCAUAAUGAUAAUAAUAAUGAUCUUCUUUUUGCUGUAUAUACACUACUUUAGAGUUUGUUCAAUGUUUGGUUACCAAGAAAACAGAAGGACUGAUCUGCUGCAUUAAAAGGUUAAGUAAUCCUGAAUACUUUCACUUCAUUUUGCCAUAUGUAGUUCUUCCAUUAGCUAGCCAUUUGGAACUAAAUCUUGUGGAGAACUUUUCAUAUUGGAGAUGGAUAUGAAAUUGGAUCUGCCUCCACCUCAUUGAACUUCACUUUCAACAUAUGCAUUGAGAAUAUUUAAGUUAAGAUCAGUAUACUAACUAACCCUACAUAAAUUAACAUGUAUUGGUGAAAACACUUAUCCUUGUAAGUGAGAAAGCAAAAAAAAAAAAAGAAAAAAAAAAAAGACCUACCCAUUGAAGACCAUCUAUAAAUUGACAUGUUUCUCAUGCAAAAAUUUUCACCCCUCACCUAAACACAAAGAUUUGUGAUUGUUUGGAGACAGUACUCUAACAAUGGAGAAAGGUGUUAGUUUCCUAGUAACUGUGGCCCUCAUGGCAUUGGCUUCAUCUUUUGCCUCUGCCUCUGAUCCAAGCCCACUGCAGGACACUUGCGUUGCCAUUGGGGAACCCAAGAAUGCUUGUAUUUCUUUAGUAACCAAUGAACUUGUCACUAUUUUCACUGAUCUUUCCAAUUCAAUAUUGGGCACAUUAAUGCAGUAGCCAUUGCUGGUCUAAGCAGCCAAAAUCCAGGUGUAAUCACCAUAUCCAAUGCAGUGUUUGGAUCAAAUCCACCAAUCAAUCCUGAUUUCCUGGCAACGGCCUUCCAGUUGGACAAGAAGGUGGUUGAAUUCCUUCAAGCACGAUUCUAGUGGGGAAAUAGAGAAAAUGAAGAAGCUAUGAACCUUUGAUUUGCUUGCUUGAAUGACUAUUUGUGAUGUUCAAUUACCUCAUUACAAUAAGAGGGGUUUAUUACUUUAUUUUGUAGCUCUUUUGGUGUGGACUUUGGUCCUAAUAUUAAAAUAAAGCAGUUUGUCUGUUAUGCAUCUUCUUCUGUCUCCAUCUCAAUAUUUGUCUUAAAAAAUCUUAUCUUGUGAAAAAACAACUCUCAGUUGAUUGAUUAACCUGCAUGUGCAGAAUGUUUAUUAAGAAUGAAUACUUAACUAGUUGUAAAACAGUACUACUGCUACUUCCAGCAUACUGCUGGCAGAAUUGGUGAUGAAGGAAUGAACAUUGAGGCAACAACUGCUGAGAAUUCAAAAAUAAAAAAGAUGCCAUUUUGCUUCUCUAUAUUUUCCCAUUAUAACUCAUCAACCGAGAUCGAAGAAACUAAUUAAGAUGUCCAAGUAAACCAUUUGAAUGGUGGGAGAAGCAUAAGUGUCAUGAAAAUUGUGAAGAAAGAAUGGAAAUGAAAACCCAGAAAUCUUAUGACAUCUACUGUAGACAAAUUAAUGUCUUAAAUAAUCUUUUCAUAAUAAUAGAACGAGAAUCUUUUUAGCAAAUUGAACUUAUACAAAUCAUUUUCUUUUCAUAAAUAAAGUUUAUAAAGAAAUUAUUUCCUUUAUAAAUAAAAUCAAAUUGAAAUAUUUUUGUAAAUAAAGUUCUAAAAAUUCAUUCUUUUUCUAGUAAAAGUAAGUCAAAAUAAUUUUUAUUGUCAAAUUGGAAUUUUUUGAAUAAAUUCUAUCCAAAUAAAAUUCAAUCAAAUCAUUUAUUGGAAAUAAAUAAAUAAAUUAAAAUCUUGAAAAAGUAAUAUUUAAAAUAUCUUUUUGUAAUCAAUUUAAUAAAUCGGGGUGUAUAAUUCUAAUGUCAUUUAUUUUGUACAUUUUUGUAAUUUAAUUUUAUAAUUAUUUUCUUGUAUAUUAAUUUGUGUCUUUAAUCUUGAUAUUCAUGAUUGAUCAAUUAACUGUCAUAAUUCAUUUUGUUUGUUUAGUAAAGAUUGUUAGUAUACAUGCUUAGAGGGGUAUUACCACUUAUUAUUGUACCUUUCUGAUAGACAACUUGACCCUUGAAUAUAGACUUGAUUUUACAGACAUGUCUUUUCUAAAUGAGGAUUUAUACAAAAUUUUCUUUCUUAUUUUAUUUUCUCUUUUAAAAAAUAAAUUAAAAUAAGUGGCAAUCCUAAUUUUUUUAUAUAAAAAAAAAAAAUCAAAAUUUCACAAUAAAAAUGAGUCUCACUGUCGAGUGGGAACACACGCAAAAAAUACGGGUCAACAUGUAUCCAAUUGAUUGGGGUCAAUGUCAAGAUGUAUGAUAAAGAUGCAAAAUUUGAAUAUGAAUCCUACCAUUGAUUGAAUCUUGAACUACCUGAUACUGGUUGUAACAAGUGAGAUAAGUUGCUAAGGUUUGCAUUGAAAUCCUCAAUUGAAAGUUACUAGUCAUCCAAAUAUGUAUAUAAAUCAAAGUGCACACAAUUGAUUUUCUUUCUCUUCUAAAUCCAAGAAAUCAACCUCCUUAAGCAAAAGACCUUAGAAUUCUUAGAGUGUGUUUGAUAGUGAUUUUAGGAAGUGUUUUUAACUUUUUUAAUAAUUGAAAAAUAAGAAUUUUGAAGUGUUAAAAAUGUUAGAAACGCUUCCUAAAAUCACUAUCAAACGCACUUUUAAUGUAAUUUGCUCUAUGUACCACUUGAUGUGGAUGUUAAGAUUGAUAUCCUUGGUCAUUGCCUAUAAUCCUAUAUCUAUAAUAGCAAGAAGACAUACAUUGAAACAUGAAUACCCUUUCACUAUGUUUGGUUUAUGGAAAAUACUAAGAAAAGAAAAUGUUCUGAAAAAUGUUUUUCUUAUAUUUAGUUUUAUUAUGAAAAAUAAGAAAAAAAUAAAAUAUAAUUAUAAUUAAUUAAAAUUUUAUGUAUUUUAAAAUUAUUUAAUAUUUAUAUAAUGAAGGAAAAUAAAUGAAACAAGCUUGAAAAAGUAUAUAAAAAUAAUUUAUUAAUUAUAACUUGUAUGCGACUAUUUUGUACUUUAAUCCCGUUUUUCUUUUAUUCUCUUGUAGGUACCUUGAUUUUAUAUAUUUGUAUCUUUAUUCGAUGAUUUAGAUUUCAUAUAUUUGUAUCUUUAAUUGAGAUUGCAAGAUCCGUACGGAUUCAGAUUAGGGAUGACAACGGUAUGGGCUUGAGGCAAGUUACUCAUAUCCCAAUCCAUUAUAUUUAUUCGUAUAUGUUAUCAUCCCCACCAAAAAAAGAAAUUAAAUGGGAAUAGGAAAUUCUCAUGCCUACCCCAUGCUAUCCCAUUAUUUAUUUAUUUAUUUUUCAAUUUUUAUUUCUAAAAUUUUAAGAAAAUUAAUAUUUUAAAUAUGUUAAAAAAAUUGAAAACUGAAAAAAGAAAUCAAUUAAAGAACUUUUUAUUUAACAUUAUACAUAAUUAGGCUGAGGUAGGAUGAAACAAACUCAUACCCAAAAUCACCCUGAAUCAAUCUUGGGUUUUUAAAAAUUUCUCAAAUUCAAGAUGAGACAAAAUCAUAUCCAAAACUAUCUCGAAUCCAUCCUAGAUUUUAAAAAUUUUCUCUAAUUUAUCUAAACUUUAUAUCAUUAUCUCAAAACGAGUACAUUAAGGGUAUGACAAGUACUAAAAAAAAAUUGGUAUAUUGUCAUCCCUAAUCAAGAUCCUAAAAUUUUUCUUUAUGAUAAUGAAAACAACAAUCAUAGUCGUCAUCUCUCUAUCAGUGUACUUUUUAGGUUUGAUCGAAUACACCUUAUGUGUUGCCUUUGGGGCAACCUAGCUCUCUCAAUCAUUGUCUAAAGUUCGGGUGUUUGUUUGUUUUAAUUUUUUUCGACUUUUUUUAAUACUAAAAGUAACUUAAUGACUUUUUUUUAACUUUUUAGUACUUAAUAAAAAUAAAAUAUUAAAAAACCAAAAACUGUGAUGUUUAAUACUUUUAAACACUAUAUAAUUUUAAGUUUUAUUCAAAAUUAAGUAAAAAAGAAAAAAAAAACACUCCUUUGAUGGUCAUCUAAAACUUUUAGGUCAAAGCUUGAUUUGGAGCUCAUUUAAACCUAACCCAAACUUCAACUAAAAAGACCUAUGUCCAACACAAUUAUUAGAGGUGUCCAAUGGGUCAUGUCGGGCCAACACAACCCAUGUUUAUCAGGCCAAUGCGUUGGCUCGACCCAUGCAAGCCAAAUAGGUGGCUUGACAUGGCCCAUAAACCCAUGGGCUAAUCAUGUCGUGUUGUGCCAUGUCGGUGAGUCGCCCCAUGGGCCACACACUUUAAUUAUUAUUUUUUAAUUUAUUUUGUCUUAAGUUUUUUAUUAUUAAAUAAAAUUUCUUUUUGUUACUUUAAACACCUCUAAUAAUUAUACUUUUUAUUUUUUAUAUUUAUAUUUAUCAAGUUUAUAACUGUAAAAUUUAUAAAAAUGUUAGUUUUUUGUUUUUAAAAAUAAUAAAAAGUGAUAUUUAAAGGGUUAAGUGGGCCAACAUGAUGGCACGACGGGUUGUUUCCUUAGGCCCACCACGACCCGCUCCUUUGGGCCAUGCCGGCCUGACUCGAUCUUUUGGCGCACUAGGCCACAGGCCAAAAUGGGUGGCUCGACCCAUUGGACACCUCUAGUAGUUACAUGUCUAGCAUCCAAACGGUAGACCAGGUGAGUUUUGUCAAACCCAACCCAUUCAUCCCCUUUGCUUCAUGUUGGCCACCCGGUUCAGACCAACCAUUGGGUUGAUUUGGGGUCUUGGUUAUUUUUGUUUAAAUAAAUUGCAAAGAAAAAAAAAACUUGGUUUGGAUAAAUAAACUUAAGUUGUUUUUAAAAUAAGCUUUUAUUUGAUUUUUUCUAAAAAAAUUUAUAAAUUCAAUUUGUACAAUAUUAAUUAUAUUUAAUUGAAGUCUUAUUAAAGAUUUAAAAAAAAAUAGUUUUUAAAUUAAAGAUAAAUUAAAAAAAAUCAUAAAAUAUGAAAUUAAUAUUAUAAUAAAAUCAUAAAUUAUGAUUUUUAUUUAAAAUGAUACUAUUUUAAGAUAUGAUUGAUUUAUUUAUUUUGAUAAGAAUGAAUAAUACUAAUUUUAAAAUAAUAAAAGGGUGAUAUAGUUUAUUUGAAAUAAAUUUAAAAAUAAAUAAAAUUUAUUUUUUUAAUACGUAAAUAAGCGAAGUUUUUCAUUAUAUCUACACCUGAGAAUUUAAUCAAGGAUAUAGUAUUUUGAACUAGUUUUGAUUCAUUCCUAUAAUCUUCAUUCAGUCAUUAUGGUUUAGACAAUUGAUAAUUAAUCUGUUGGCAUAAUUGAUUCUGCAAAACAGUAUCCUGAAUUUAGUAUCGAGGGAGGCAGAAACACAGCGAGAGAGAGAGAGAGAGAGAGAGAGAGAGAGAGAGAGAGAGAGAGAUGAUGCUUAACAAUUAACAGACUGCAGACUGCUUUAUUGUAGUAAUAUGCCCAAAGUCCACACCAGAAGAGUUACAACCAGACCCUCUUAUUAUACCAUGUUUGUUACAAUGAGGGAAUUGAACAUCAUGAAUCGUCAUUCAAGCAAGGAAAUCAAAGGUUGACAGCUUAUUCUUUUUCUAUAUUUCCCCACUAGAAUCGUGCUUGAAGGUAUUCAACCACCCUCUUGUCCAACUGGAAGGCCCUUGCCAGGAAAUCAGGAUUGAUGGGUGGAUUUGAUCCAAACAUUGAACUGGCUAUGGUGAUUACACCUGGAUUUUGGCUGUUAAAAGCGGCAAUGGCUACUGCAUUAGUGUGCCCAAUGUUGACUUGGAAGUGAAUGAGACUGAAAGGGAACACAAAAACAUCCCCCUUGUUCAGGACUUUGCUAAUGAAGCGGUGUUCAGGGUUGGAUGUGAUAAAGCCAACAAAGAGUGUUCCCUCCAAGACAAUGAAGACCUCACUGGCACGAGGGUGAAAGUGAGGAGGGUUUUGACCAUUAGGUUCAUAAUCGAUACGAGCCACUGACACCCCAAGAGUGUUUUCUCCUGGUAAUUGAUCAACAUUUAUAAGAUUGACAAUUGAGCCCACAUAAUUUGAUGUGUUUCCUGGAAUAUUCAGCCCUUGAUACAAGAAAUCCUCGGCCACGGUCAGGUUUGGGUUCUUGCAGAACUUCCCAUUUACAAAUACUGCAUGAAGAAGGAAAAAAGAAAAGAUAUAUCAUUAGUAUCAAACCAUACUCACCAUAUCAAUAAAAAGAGAAGUACUGAAAAUAGCUAUAAGAUCAUUGGUUACUAUAGAAAUACCAGCAUUAUUGGGCUCAUCAACGGCAACACAGGUGUCUUCCAGUGGGCUUGGAUCAUAGGCAGAGGCAAGAAAGGAAGCCAAUGCCAUGAAGGCCACGGUUACCAGGAAACUAACGCCUCUCUUCAUUGUUAGAGUACUGCCUCCAACAAUCACAAUCUUUAUCUUUAGGCGGGGAUAAGAAAUUUAGCAUGGAAAAGAUGUUAAUUUAUAGACCAGAGUCGAUGAGUUAGUCUUUGCAUAAACUCACCAAGUCUUCAAUGGGAAGUUUUUUCUUCUUUCUUUUUUCACUUUCGAGGACAAGCGGUUGCACCAAUACAUGUUGAUUUACGUAGGAUUAGUCAGUAAACAGAUCUUAACCAGAAUAUAAAGCAAUGUACAAUCAGGUGGAGGCAGGUCCAAUUUAAUAUCAAUCUGCAUGAUCCAAACGUUUACAUUGUUUCAACAUUUUUGUAUUAUGGUUUUUAUGAACUGUGUUUUUUUGAGUUGUAAGGAAGAAAAACUUAGGUUUAAAGUUCUAGCAUAGAAGAAAAAACCUGUAGAUUAAUUGAUUUUUUAAUCUGAACCAAACACAUGAUCAACUCCAUAAAAACAAGUGGAAAACAAGAAAAAAUGAAUGAUUUUUAAUAUGUAUUUGUGUGAGAAUGAUAGGUAUAGAUUUUUUUUUGAGAUAUACUGCCACAUAAUCUUCAUCCCUUCUAAAAAACGAGAGAGAAAAAAAAAAGAAUGAUUUUUCUGUUUGUAUCUAAGUGAGAAUGAGAUAUAGAAUUUCACUCCAGACGCAUUAAUUUUAUCUCAUACUGCCAUGCUAGACCAAAUCAGCCCUUAACGACAACCACACUGUUUUGUGGGGGGGGGGUUACUUUUGUUCCAUUAUAUUCACAGAAUCUUCAAAUCCAUUCUUUGGAUUAAUCUGCAUGAGGAAAUCUGUUACUGUUAGUGACGGAAACCUGUUAUUGUUAGUACCGGAGUCAACUGUUUGACUGGGUGGGUUCCAAUCAGAUCCUAAGGAAUGGGUCCAAAGGUCAUCCAUUAGAGUUAAUGGAAUUCAUUGUUGUUCUUGUGCCUUGAUGUGUGAGCCCAACACGCACAGAUGCAACUAGGGAUGGCAACGGGGCGGGUUUUUUCGGGUACCCGCCCUGCCCCGCCCCUAAUGGGAUGGGGUUGAAAUUUAAUAAAUGGGUUUUUAACGGGUAUAAGAUUUUUUUUUUUAAACCCGGGGCGGGUUCGGGUAUUGCCCCAUCCCGCCCCGCCCCGCCCCGCCCCGCCCCGCCCCGCCCCGUUUACAUAUAAAAUCAAUUUUAAAAUUUAAUUUAAUUUAAUUUAAAUUUUAAAAUUAAUUUUAUUUUACUAUUUUUAAUAUAUAGAUAAUAAAAAAAAAUUAAUAAAAUAAAUUAUAAAAAAUAUAAUAAUUUUAUUAUUUAUAAAUAUAUUUAUUUUAAUGUAAUUAAAAAUUUUAAAAGCAAUUUUUUUUUUUUUUAAAAAGGAGGCUAAACAGGGCUGGGCGGGGCGGGUUUGGGAAUUUCCCAUACCUGCCCCGCCCCGCCCCGCCCUGCCCCGUUUAAUUUUUUAAACGGGACGGGGAUGGGAAUUAUUUUUAAUAAACGGGGCGGGGUUGGGAUGGGGGCGACCCGUCCCGAACCUGCCCCGUUGCCAUUCCUAGAUGCAACAGUAUGAGUCAUGUGCAGGUAGAUUUGAAUAGACACAUCUUGGCAUCGGGAUGGCUUGAGCAAGGUGUAGUCUCCUACAAUAGGAAGCAUGGUGAACUGAUGCAUCACAUGAGCAAGACUCCUAUUGCAUGAGACAUACUCCUAUCACAUGAGACUUCUAGUCAAAGUGGGAGAUUGAGACCUAAUAUUGCAGGAAGAGAAAGGGACUCUUGACAUGAGAAGACUCCUAAUCGGGAUAGAAAACUAAAUCUUCAUGCAUAAGGAGAUAGAGAGAUGUGGCAUGAGAGUUUUAGAUUCAGUAGGACUUGGAGUCCUACUCAAAUUUGUCAUCUGUUAAGCUUGAGUCGGACGCAAACUAGGACUCAAAAGUUAGUCUCCUAGUAGGAUUAGGAUGGCUUGGUGCAACCUUCAUAAAAGGAGGGCGUGACCCAAUAGGAUGCUCCAAAAAUGGUACCUUACGUGAUAGGAAGGCCCCUUCAAAAGUCAUAUUGCUUGUACCACCAAGACACCACCACUAAGUAUUUGUCCAUAUCUUAAUCCAUGUGUGCAUGGAGAUGAACAUAAAUAUAUAUAGAAAAGAUAAAUAUUAGAAGACAAGUCUCCACAAAGAGACAAAAAUAUAGAAGGCUUCGGUCAACCAAUCCCGCUAUGCGUGGCAAAUGUUUCAGGGGACUGCGUAGGAUUGAACAGCCUUUGCUAGAGGGAAGAUCAAUCUAUGGGCGUGAAUAAAGAGAGAACUGGAGAAGUAUUGGAACAGGCGGGUCACCUCAGUUGACCAGGAAACAUGGCAUUAGUCAACGCAAACCUUGGCUUUCGAUCUCUACAUCGGUGCUGAAUAUUGUUGAACGGAAACACGUGGCCAGCUACAUUGGUUCUAGACAACAAAGGCUGCAACAAUUAACCUGAAAUUGAAAAUUUUGAAAUUUUUUUGAAAACAUAACAUCUUAAGAUGACUGGUAACCUUCUCUUAUUGGUUGGCUCUAAAUCAAAACCACUAUACAUGCAUUGUUCAAUGUAUAUAUGAUGUAGCAUUUUUGUGUUUUGUCUUUUACAAGUUGUAUAUAUUGGAAAAUUCUGACACCAUACAAAAACAUAGAAAAGCCACAAAUACCGCAACUUGCAUAUUUUCAUUUUAUGGCUGAAACUUUUCAAUGAAUCAUUAUCUUUAUUUCAAACUUUAAAAUUUUGAAAACAUAACAUCUUAAGAUGACUCGUAACCUUCUCUUAUUGGUUGGCUCUAAAUCAAAACCACUAUACAUGCAUUGUUCAAUGUAUAUAUGAUGUAGUAUUUUUGUGUUUUGUCUUUUACAAGUUUUAUAAAUUGGAAAAUUCUGACACCAUACAAAAACAUAGAAAAGCCACAAAUACCGCAACUUGCAUAUUUUUAUUUUAUUUUAAUUAUUUAUAGUUGAUUAGGUUUAUGGUAUGCCAUGUUGGAUGCUUUCAGAUUUUACAGAUCUAAGUUACUUUUAUUUUGAGAACGAAUAUUCCAUAAUUCAACCUUUUCCUUUUCUUGUUGGUAAUCAUGAUACAUAAAAUCUAGGAAUGCUAAACACAUCUUUUUUAAAAGUACUAUAUUGUAUUACAAUAGGAAAUGGCUUUUAUCAAAAGAGAAAUAUCCUUAAAUUGAUUAGGCCUAGCUCAUACUUUCAUCAACCAUAUGAUGACAUGAAAAAAAUCAAAGAAGAAAUAUGGGAAAUGGUACGAAAAGAGAUGGGUAGUAAUAACAUGAGACAACAACUUGUUUUACAACUAGUUGUAGCAGAAAAACCAAUGUUUAAAAUGAUAGAAGAGCCCCAACCACCAGAACCACCACUGAAACACAAGGUAUGCAUUUACUUACUAAUAAUACAAGAUUAAUAUAAGUGACAUAAAGCCUAUGUAAAUGAUAUUAUUUGUUGUAUUGAAGGUAAUUAAAUGUAAAUUAGCAGUGGAAAGAAAAGAAAAUGUUGUUCCAACUGGUACACUAAUAGAAGAAAAAGGAUCGAAUAGGUUGGUUGUAAUAAAUGCUGCACACAAGCCAGAUGCUAGACUCCCAUUUCCAAAUCCAUAUGAGAUUAUCAAUGUUGGGGAUGCUAUUGGCUUUGAGCUUGACUGGCCAACAAGCCUUGUCAUACUUGAAACUGAACAUCCUUAGGUAUGUCAUUUUAUGCCUAUAGUAAAUUUGAUUGUAACUUGGUAUUUUAUUGUUUAGGAGUAUAUAUAUCUAACAUUCCUUCCUUUUUCAUAGGUGUUGGAUAAAGGAAAGAAGAAGAUAGUGAAGACACCAAUUUUUUGAAAAUCUAAGCCUCAAAAUCAUUCGGUCAUUAAAAAUUUUCAAAAAUUUGUGGAUGGUUGUCUUGGUAAUGACAAGACAUACCCAAUACAGCUCCCCAUUUCACUUUUUGGUGUCGAAUUUCAAACAUAUAUAUCUAGAGAGGAUUGUGAAUACAUUAUUUCAUCUUUAGAGGUGUCAUCAAACUGCAUCUCCUUCUAUUUAUGGUGUGCACCUUUUAUUUUCAUUUGUUUUUAUUUUUUUAAAUAUGAGUUGCCCAUGUUGAACGAAAUUGGAUAUGACUAAUGAUAAUUUUCUUUUGGUGUUUUGAUACAAUAAUAGGCACAUGCAUGAUCAACUACAUAUUGCCAAAAAGGAAUCACAAUUUAUAUUUGUUAAUCCUUUUACAAUAUCACGAGCAAGCCUUAGUACUCAUCAAACAGAGAAAAGAGCACAAUUGUUGUCAAAACGCUUAAUGGAGUGCCAAGAUGCUAAAUAUGUUUUCAUACCUUACAACCCUGAGUAAGUGACAAAUAUUAUACUUUAAUUUGAGGUUUUAUGAUUGAUUUAUAUUUCUAAUUAGACGCUACUUUUGUUUUUAAUGUUUUAGCUUUCAUUGGGUCUUGGUGGUGAUUGAGCCAAGGAAAAUGAUAGUCCACUAUCUUGACCCUAUGCAUCACAAACUAUUUGAGGACUUAAAGAAUAUCGUAAACAUGUAAGUUCUUCCUAUUAUUUUUCAUAGUAUUAUUUUUUUUUUUUUAUAAAAAAUACAUUCAUCUCAAACACAUUGAACUUAUUUACAUAGGGCACUUCGAAUAUCUACAAAGAAAACAUCUAAAAGGGAGCCAUCUUGGCAACUAGUGCAGGUGACAUCCAAAAAAUUUUCUUUACACAUUAGCUUAUGCAUUUGCACCAUUUAUAUAUAUGAGUACUAAUGUUAUUUUAUAAUUGAUCGAUUAGUGUCCAAGACAAGAAGGAGGGUUCGAAUGUGGCUACUUUGUUAUGAGAUUCAUAAAAGAGAUAAUUUUUUAUCCUACAAUUAUUGCUUCAAAGGUAUUACAAAUUUAAUGAAUUGUACAUAGUUUUAGGCUUCCAAAUGUUAUGCAUUUUAAUGUUAUUUUCUUAUUUGAUUUCAGUUUGGUGAUAAAAAAACAUAUUCUCAAGUAGAAUUCGAUGAAAUUAGAGAAAAAUGGGCUACUUUUGUGCUACAACUAAUCAUGAAUCAUGUUGAUGCAUCAUGAUCACCAUGCAUGGUGAGUCCUUUAGCUACUACAUGAAUUUUUCCAUAGGUUCUUUGAAUAAUGUUUCUAUUUGAAAAAAAAAAAGAAAAAAAAAUAGUUCUUAGAUUUUUUUCAUUUAUGAUAACAUCGAUCCAUGUUUAUUUUCUUCAAUAAAAAUCUAUAAAACUCAUUAAACUAUGAAAUGCAAGUAUACACUUUUGGGAUGGUGGAAUGGAGAAUAAAAAGAAAGAAGAAGGCAACAAGAUUUUGGGUUUUUAAAUGCAACUCUUAUGUCAUACGUUGUAGGACAUAAAUGUUAAUUUAAUUAGUACUGAGAAAUUUAGAUUUUUAGAUGGGACUUUUAUGUCAUUUUAUAGUUAGCCGGUUUUAUGCUUAUGAAUUGGAGGUAUACAUGAAUCUUGGGAUCUUUAACAUUUCUAAAUCAUGUUUUGGUAUGUAUUCACUCUUCUUUUUUUAGUUUUGAUGGGUUUGAUAUGUUGGAUGUACUAUCUUUUUGUGAACAUUUGAUAUACAAAUAUUAUUAGAUGAUCAAUGUAUUAUGAGUUAUUCUAGAAACAUUACAGAAAAAUGAGUUAAAUAUAAUAUUAUUGUUAUAUUUAUGGACAAAAAAUAAAUAGGUUAAUCUUACUUAUUAAUUCAUAAGCAUUACAAAAAUUUAUAACUAAAAGCAAUCAUAUCUUCCACAAUAAUUUACAAUGAUGUGACACCAUUACUCAAAGGUGAUGCAUUUAAUAUGACAUUAUAAUUCAAAGAUGAUGCAUUUAAUGCGAUACCCUCUCAUCACUAGAAAUAUAUGGUGUCACUUCCGAAUGGGUCACCAUUUAUCUACUUUGGUGUCACUUCCAAAUACGUUACCAAUUGGUACCCUCUAUGGUAUCAGUGGAGAAGGUGACGCUAUGUUGUAGUGACACCCUAUGUUUAUGGUAACUCGUUAUAAAUGUCACCAUAUAUCUUUUUCCCUAUAGUGUAUAGCUCCAGUGAGGCUGUUCUCAGAGAAACAAAGGUAUGUCAAGUUUGUCAUUUGGCCUAGUACAGCAGGAAUGCUUCCAGUCAGAUUGUUAUCGUCCAAGUCUAUUGUCUCCAGGCUCCAAUAGCCUUGUAUGGAGGCUGGAAUAUUGCCUCCAAGCUUAUUACAACUCAUGUUUAUGAAUGUUAACUCAGAAAGCUCUCCAAUGGUAGCUGGGAUCCCUCCAUACAAGCUGUUGCCUUGCAAAGAGAGGGUGGUGAGAUGGGAUAGAUUGGAUAUGUAUGGUGAGAUAACUCCCUGUAAGCGCAUGUUUAUGAGCUUGAUUGACUCUAUUGAUAUUUUGUUGGUUGAGCAUGGAUUUAUGACUUAUAACGCACACGUGGAGGGUUGAAUUUCAUGAAAGAAAAUGAGGGUCAGAAAAAUAAUAAAUGGCAAGACAUUGAGCUUAUUGUGGGUAUGAUUGGGUACAAAUUCUUUUGUAUAUAUCUACUUGGGGUAUACAAUUGAAUAUUUAAUUUAGGAAGAUUCAAAAAAUUGUUUUCAAUGAAAUUCAAUAAUAAUAAUAAUAAUAAUAACAAUUGCCUGGAAAUUUAUUUAUUUAAUAAACAUUGUUUUGUCAUCAAAGUUAAUUUUUAAUAAAAUUAUCUAAAAAAAUGAAUUUUUAAAUAAAAUUCUAUUUCCUUAAUUAAAAUGGGCUAAAAAGUAAUUUUUGCAAAUUAAUGUCUUAAAUAACCUUUUCAUAAUAAUAGAAUGAGAAUCUUUUUAGCAAAUUGAACUUAUACAAAUCAUUUUCUUUUUGUAAAUAAAGUUUGUAAAAAAAUUAUUUUCUUUAUAAAUAAAAUCAAAUUGAAAUAUUUUUACAACUAAAAGAAUAUUUAGUUGAGCAAGUGAUGAACUAUUUUCUUGUUUAAGUAACCUUUUGUAAUGUUCCCCCAGCAUAAUGGUAGUACAAUAAGAGGGUUUAUUAUGUACUUCUUUCUAUAUGGACUUUGGGUAUAAUAAAAACAAUGCUUUCUCUUUCUCUCUCUCUCUCUCUCCCCCUCAGUCCACAGGUUUAGACCCUUAGCUUUACCCUGCACUAAGUCUUGAAAGCCAAAGAUUAUGCAGAAUCAAACUCUUAAAGUCUACAGCAUGAGUUGAGGAAAAAAGGAUGAGUAUUUAACGUAGUAGUUGAGGAAUGAUUCAAUGUUUGAAAUAUAAAAAAUGCAAUCCAUUGAACACUUAGCUGGCCUAUCUGCUUAUUAUUGUAUACAUAAAACAUAGACUAAUCCGAAGACUUCUAUGUGAUAACUUUAGAAUUUUCAUAUCCAAGGUUUUCACUUCUUUCUCAUCAGAAGACAAAGAUUGUAACUGUUGCAGAAAACCUAACAACCUAGUUUAUUUGUUAAGGUCCCUUUCUCUCAUAAAACAUAAAUAUAUUCACUAUCAAACACCAUAAUGAUAAUAAUAAUUAAUGAUCUUCUUUUUGCUGUAUAUACACUACUUUAGAGUUUGUUCAAUGUUUGGUUACCAAGAAAACACAAGGACUGAUCUGCUGCAUUAAAAGGUUAAUAUGUAGUUCUUCCAUUAGCUAGCCAUUUGGAACUAAGUCUUGUGGAGAACUUUUCAUAUUGGAGAUGGAUAUGAAAUUGGACCUGCCUCCACCUCAUUGAACUUCACUUUCAACAUAUGCAUUGAGAAUAUUUAAGUUAAGAUCAGUAUACUAACUAACCCUACAUAAAUUAACAUGUAUUGGUGAAAACACUUAUCCUUGUAAGUGAGAAAGCAAAAAAAGAAAAAAAAAAAAAGAAAAAAGAGAGAGACCUACCCAUUGAAGACUGUCUAUAAAUUGACAUGUUUCUCAUGCAAAAAUUUUCACCCCUCGCCUAAACGCAAAGAUUUGUAAUUGUUUGGAGACAGUACUCUAACAAUGGAGAAAGGUGUUAGUUUCCUAGUAACUGUGGCCCUCAUGGCAUUGGCUUCAUCUUUUGCCUCUGCCUCUGAUCCAAGCCCACUGCAGGACACUUGCGUUGCCAGACCCAAGAAUGCUGGUAUUUCUUUAGUAACCAACGAACUUGUCUCUAUUUUCACUAAUCUUUCCAAUUCAAUAUUGGGCACAUUAAUGCAGUAGCCAUUGCUGGUCUGAGCAGCCAAAAUCCAGGUGUAA